This 474-nucleotide ribosomal RNA is filed under the name uncultured bacterium. RNAcentral's name for it is "SSU rRNA". It matches the Rfam family "Bacterial small subunit ribosomal RNA", at positions 26 to 518 of the family's 1533-position model. The record is from RNAcentral.
AGGACGAACGCUGGCGGCGUGCUUAACACAUGCAAGUCGAGCGGAAAGGCCCUUCGGGGUACUCGAGCGGCGAACGGGUGAGUAACACGUGAGUAAUCUGCCCUUAGCUCUGGGAUAGCUCCGGGAAACCGGGAUUAAUACCAGAUACGACCACUUUAGACAUCUGCCGUGGUGGAAAGAAUUUCGGCUAAGGAUGAGCUCGCGGCCUAUCAGCUUGUUGGUGGGGUAACGGCCUACCAAGGCGACGACGGGUAGCCGGCCUGAGAGGGCGACCGGCCACACUGGGACUGAGACACGGCCCAGACUCCUACGGGAGGCAGCAGUGGGGAAUAUUGCGCAAUGGGCGAAAGCCUGACGCAGCGACGCCGCGUGGGGGAUGAAGGCCUUCGGGUUGUAAACCCCUUUCAGCAGGGACGAAGCGAAAGUGACGGUACCUGCAGAAGAAGCGCCGGCUAACUACGUGCCAGCAGCCGC